RNAcentral lists this ribosomal RNA (51 nucleotides) under fungal sp. 5DI1-8A. RNAcentral describes it as "partial 25S ribosomal RNA". Lineage: Eukaryota; Fungi. The record is from RNAcentral.
UUUGACCUCAAAUCGGGUGGGAUCACCCGCUGAACUUAAGCAUAUCAAUAG